CUUUUUUACUCGGAAAGUACCCGCUGUGAAUGGUCGCAACGCAGCAUCAGCUGCAACAUCCAGGUUGAUUGUUUUGUUAAAGACCAUGCCAAGAUAUUUGAAAGUAUCUGUGUAGGGGAGCUGCGUACCAUCAAAGUAAAGUGGGGGCAAGUUGUCAGACCUGGAAUUGAAGCACAUCACCUCAGAUUUAAGUGUGCUGACAGUCAGUGACUUCCUUCGAGUGUAGGCUCUCAAUUUGUUGAGCAUGGUCUGCACGUUGGUAUGGUCAUUGGACAUGAGAGAGAGGUCAUCAGCGAACAGCAGGUGAGUCACCAUGAAAUUGGGAAUACCGGUGAGCGCCCCCUGCACCCCUUCAACCAGACAGUCAAUGUCGUUCAAGUAAAUUGAAAACAGCAGGGGGGAGAGAGGGCACCCUUGUUUGACCCCAAAAGAUGGUUGCACAUUUGCUCUCUUGUCCCCAUCCAGGAGCGUGUACUCAUCCUCACGGUACAAGUCUUUCAGGAUAGACACAAUGUGGUGUGGCAUCUGGCAGUUGUGUAAAUGUUCCCUAAGUUGCACAAUACGGGAAUACGGAUACGGAUAUGGAUACGGAUACGGAUACGGAGGGGCUGAUACGGGAAGCAAAGAAUUCACCAAAGACUCUGAAACUGGCAGGAAUGAGCACUGGACCCCUCCCAUUAUGCAUGUAAUACACAUUGACAUGAAUCUACGAUGUACCAAGUGGUCCGCUAGGUGUUUGUGUAGGCCAGUGCAUGUUGUCAUCACCAUGCCAGAAUAAACAAGGACAACUUUCUCAGAAAUGGACCACUCCCCCAUAACUGGACAUGCUCUAUCCCAACCUUUUUUUUUCCAAAAUCCAACCAUGCCAACUACAAUUUCAUCAGAAAAUAUCAUGUUGUUCAAAAGAUGAUGAAAAUCGGAGGACCUCAGAUCACCGAGAAAGGUCCCACAGCUGCACCGUGUGUGCUGCCUCCAAUCCUUGCCCAUCCUCGUUUUACUAAAUUAUAUUCAAAAUGAAAUAUUGUAAACGGGUCAAGGCCAGUGCUAUCGUCAAAGCUCAGUUCUCCAGAUCCUCUCCAAGGCCCGCCCCGCUCUCUGCUGUUCAGGCCGUACUGGAUACAAUACGAAAUACGCCGUAUUGAUACGAAUACGCCGUAUUGAGGGUCUAAUACGCCGUAUUGUGCAACUUAGAAUGUUCCCACCUAAGUUGCACAAUACGCCGUAUCAGACCCCAAAUACGGCGUAUUCGUAUCAAAUACGUCGUAUUCGUAUUCCCGUAUCCGUACCAAUUUCACCAGAUUUAGCAGGAUUUUGCUGGAUUUUUGCCGUAUCCGUACUCGUAUUCGUAUUCGUAUCCGUAUCCGUAUUCCCGUAUUGUGCAACUUAGGUUCCCACAGCUUGCUCCUUGGAAUGGAGUCAUAAGCUUGCCUGAAGUCAAUGAAGGCAGUAUACAGUCGUGAUGAUCCCCCUUGUACUUUCUGAGCUGCAUCUCGCAAGUGCCGCAGGAUGAACAGGGGUUGCAGGGUACUACGGCCGGGGUAAACACAAACUGUGUGUCCG
Molecule: long non-coding RNA, 1560 nt
Filed under: Dunaliella salina
Lineage: Eukaryota; Viridiplantae; Chlorophyta; Chlorophyceae; Chlamydomonadales; Dunaliellaceae
Description: long non-coding RNA (DSAL_LNC000315)
Source: RNAcentral